CCUACGGGAGGCAGCAGUGGGGAAUAUUGGACAAUGGGGGGAACCCUGAUCCAGCCAUGCCGCGUGUGUGAAGAAGGCCCUCGGGUUGUAAAGCACUUUCAGUGAGGAAGAACGCCUGGUGGUUAAUACCCAUCAGGAAAGACAUCACUCACAGAAGAAGCACCGGCUAACUCCGUGCCAGCAGCCGCGGUAAUACGGAGGGGUGCGAGCGUUAAUCGGAAUUACUGGGCGUAAAGCGCGCGUAGGUGGCUUGAUAAGCCGGUUGUGAAAGCCCCGGGCUCAACCUGGGAACGGCAUCCGGAACUGUCAAGCUAGAGUGCAGGAGAGGAAGGUAGAAUUCCCGGUGUAGCGGUGAAAUGCGUAGAGAUCGGGAGGAAUACCAGUGGCGAAGGCGGCCUUCUGGACUGACACUGACACUGAGGUGCGAAAGCGUGGGUAGCAAACAGGAUUAGAUACCCUAGUAGUC
Molecule: ribosomal RNA, 466 nt
Filed under: Vreelandella stevensii
Lineage: Bacteria; Pseudomonadati; Pseudomonadota; Gammaproteobacteria; Oceanospirillales; Halomonadaceae
Description: partial 16S ribosomal RNA
Rfam family: Bacterial small subunit ribosomal RNA
Source: RNAcentral